Non-coding RNA from Doryrhamphus excisus (bluestripe pipefish), 6833 nucleotides. NCBI's taxonomy places the organism in Eukaryota, Metazoa, Chordata, Actinopteri, Syngnathiformes, Syngnathidae. The record is from RefSeq and is a predicted model, not a curated record.
GUUUAUGAACAUAUUUACAGAACAAUCUUUUAACAAUACUUUGUGCAAUGUUGCAUAGUCAAAAAUAGUUAUUAAAUAUUUAGUGCCGUCAAAAAGGCUGUUUCUUUAACACACAAAAAAAUAACUUUUCCAGUGUAUAAUAAAAGUGCCCAUGGAAUUUAUCUGAAUAAAAAGGCGAUCCCGGCCAUGACACUGGACAGUCCAACCAAGGCCAAGAGGGCGUUCCUCGCUGUGGUCUGUGGGUCAGUUUUCUCAAAGAACUCCACAAAACCAUCCUGAAGACACCAUAAAGAUACAGUUGAUACGUUGAGGAUUUCCUCAGCGCAAAGUCACAUGACUUAGCAGCCAUGACUUACCCAAGAGUUGUGCACCACCAGCCACGUGCGAUGGUGUGACAGCAGAUAGUUGGAGAUCUCCCGGGCCACCUUCUCCACGCAGCAGGCUCGCCCGUUGUUCUUCAGGUACCGAGACACCACGGCGCCAAAGGCCACCAGGGUGGCAACGCGACCCCAGUUGGUGGUUCCGUCAGCAAACAGACUCUGGGCCACGUCCUGAAUGAAGGCCAUGUCGUCCCCUUUUUGGUCCAAUGACAGUUGGUUGAUGAUGCCUUCAAAGGAUCAAAAAAUUCUACUAUAACUUUCUGUUUGUGCUAACAUGAACAUACGUGCAUUCAAAAGAACGGAUUAACAGUUCAUAAACUAUAAUAUUUAAUGACUUAGUAUUCAUAAAUAUACAGGACGCUCAUCAUAACCGUCGCUAACGGAUCAGAUAACGUUUAAACGAUAAGUUAUGAACAUAAAACACAAACUUACCAUUGAAUUUAAACAUGUGCUUGUCCACCAACUCCACCACGACCUUCUGCAUUGUGGACUGAGCUUUACUUUGCAUCCACUCAGCCGUGGACAGCCCGGUAAAGUCAGUGAGACAACGGCCGAUGAGGCGCCUUGUGUCUCCUUCCAGGACGUCGUCCACCGCGGGGGUCUGGAGCUCCGGAGGACACAACAGGAUUCGGGAUGCAUCACCGCUGUAAGGGCGAUGACUUCCAUGGGGUGAGUCGCCCUGGAGCAUCACCUUCAGCCCGACAGGUCGCUGUUUCGGCGGGAUGCUGCGGUUAACGGCUCCAGUCGCGACAACCGGCACGGCGCUUUCUCCAACUGCACCUGAACGCAACAUUAAAGUGCCCGUAACUCCGCUCUUCUCCAUGUCUGUCUCAAUAAUCGCCAGCUGACGAGUGGGAAAUUCGGGUAAGGUUGCUAGCUUAAACCACACAAAGAUGGAAGUUUUCUUCAACGCGUCCGCUCACUGGCCGGCAAGUUUAACGAUCAAAGAUUCUCAGUUUCCAGCUUUAUAGUGAAUUGGCAUGGUGACGUCACUGAACUUCCGCUGCAGCUUCCGGGUUGUGUUCCCUCCAUCCAUUCAUUUCCUGUGUCGCUUGUCUUCAGUCUAUCCCAGCUGACUUUAAACGACUUGUCUCCAGGGGUUUCCCAACUUUAAGGAAAUAAAUAAUAAGUAAGUUACGUGUUUUUUGUAAAUUACGGUCAAGUCUUGUUAACACGCUGUGUGAGUACAGCCAUGUUCUUAGUGGUUUUUUAAUGUUAGCAUCUGUUAGCUUGUUCUUAAUGGGUUUUUAAUGUUAGCAUCUGUUAGCUCGCCACAACAUUGGGCUGUGUUGGACCUCACACUUCCUGGUUUUGUCACGUGGUCUCAUGUUUACCCUGACCUCCUGACAGUAUUAUACUGUAUUUGUGUUAUGUACAAGGUUUAUAGUGGAGGUCUUUUGUAUCGAUAUCAUUGAGAAAGAGUAUUUUCUUUGAAAAUGGUUAGUGGUUAGAUCAUCCAUGCAUACCCAACAGAUGGAUAAUGAUGACAGUGGAGAAAUGCACCAGUGCACAUGAUAUCCCGGUGACAGAAACAAGACAUCUUUGUUGAUGGAACAUAUACAGCAACACCAUGCGCUCGUACUCAUUUAUUAAAAUACAUUGUCAUGAUUUUUAGGGCGGGGAUAGAGAAUAGCAUCUUUCUUGUAGGCUAUGCCGUAUCUUCCCGCAUGUUUCAAUCCCAUAAGAACAUUUGGGGAUGGAUGGCAUGGAAGUUUCUAAAAACGGCUCUCGGUUCCAGGCUGUUGAUGCCCUUGGGGAAGCCAUUGUCACCACUUAGAAGCCUUAGCUCUUGCAUAUUGUAGCUCUACUUAAAAAAAAUAUAUACAUACAUAUUAUAUAUUACCAGCUAAUUUAGGAGUAUAUUGAUUUUUAAAUUGAACUUUAAUGUUUAUGGACUCCAGAAGUAUAGUUUCUAAAGAGAAUAUAUGCCGUACUCUACAGCACUCAUGUGGUGAUUGUUGGUAUUACAUACGGCCAAACUACUUUGUGCCAUUUUGCAUAGUCAAAAAUAGUUAUUAAAUAUUUAGUGCCGUCAUAUUUGUAACAGCCAGAGCUCAUGCCGCCCAUGUCCGUCCUUGUCAAGAGGAAGUGGCAAAAAUACUUAUAAUAAUAAAAUAAUGAAAAAUUUAUAAAAUAAAAUACUCGUGAGGAUGAGCGGUAGAAAAUGAAUAAAAUAAAAUACUCGUGAGGAUGAGCGGUAGAAAAUGAAUAAAAUAAUAUAAAAUAUAGUUUCUAGAGAGGGGCGUCACGGUGGUCUAGGGGUUAGCGCACAGACCUCACAGCUAGGGGACCAGGGUUCAAUUCCACCCUCGAGCAUCUCUGUGUGGAGUUUGCAUGUUCUCCCCGUGCAUGCGUGGGUUUUCUCCGGGUACUUCGGUUUCCUCCCACGUUCCAAAAACAUGCUAGGUUAAUUGGCUACUCCAAAUUGUCCAUAGGUAUGAAUGUGAGUGUGAAUGGUUGUUUGUCUAUGUGUGCCCUGUGAUUGGCUGGCGACCAGUCCAGGGUGUACCCCGCCUUACGCCCGAAGACAGCUGGGAUAGGCUCCAGCACCCCCCGCGACCCUCGUGAGGAAAAAGCGGUAGAAAAUGAAUGAAUGAAUAGUUUCUAAAGAACAUAUGCAGUACUGUACUGCGCUCAUGUGGUGAUUGUUGGUAUUACAUGCAGCCAAUCUAAAUACUGCUUUAUAAAUAUUAAUACAAUAAAAUAAAAUACUCGUGAGGAUGAGCGGUAGAAAAUAAAAUAAAAUAAAAUAAAAUAAAUCUCGUGAGGAUGAGCCUGACCCUAUUUUCUGUGAAAGGAAAGACAAAAACAAGAUUUUAAACUGUUUAUGAACAUAUUUACAGAACAAUCUUUUAACAAUACUUUGUGCAAUGUUGCAUAGUCAAAAAUAGUUAUUAAAUAUUUAGUGCCGUCAAAAAGGCUGUUUCUUUAACACACAAAAAAAUAACUUUUCCAGUGUAUAAUAAAAGUGCCCAUGGAAUUUAUCUGAAUAAAAAGGCGAUCCCGGCCAUGACACUGGACAGUCCAACCAAGGCCAAGAGGGCGUUCCUCGCUGUGGUCUGUGGGUCAGUUUUCUCAAAGAACUCCACAAAACCAUCCUGAAGACACCAUAAAGAUACAGUUGAUACGUUGAGGAUUUCCUCAGCGCAAAGUCACAUGACUUAGCAGCCAUGACUUACCCAAGAGUUGUGCACCACCAGCCACGUGCGAUGGUGUGACAGCAGAUAGUUGGAGAUCUCCCGGGCCACCUUCUCCACGCAGCAGGCUCGCCCGUUGUUCUUCAGGUACCGAGACACCACGGCGCCAAAGGCCACCAGGGUGGCAACGCGACCCCAGUUGGUGGUUCCGUCAGCAAACAGACUCUGGGCCACGUCCUGAAUGAAGGCCAUGUCGUCCCCUUUUUGGUCCAAUGACAGUUGGUUGAUGAUGCCUUCAAAGGAUCAAAAAAUUCUACUAUAACUUUCUGUUUGUGCUAACAUGAACAUACGUGCAUUCAAAAGAACGGAUUAACAGUUCAUAAACUAUAAUAUUUAAUGACUUAGUAUUCAUAAAUAUACAGGACGCUCAUCAUAACCGUCGCUAACGGAUCAAAUAACGUUUAAACGAUAAGUUAUGAACAUAAAACACAAACUUACCAUUGAAUUUAAACAUGUGCUUGUCCACCAACUCCACCACGACCUUCUGCAUUGUGGACUGAGCUUUACUUUGCAUCCACUCAGCCGUGGACAGCCCGGUAAAGUCAGUGAGACAACGGCCGAUGAGGCGCCUUGUGUCUCCUUCCAGGACGUCGUCCACCGCGGGGGUCUGGAGCUCCGGAGGACACAACAGGAUUCGGGAUGCAUCACCGCUGUAAGGGCGAUGACUUCCAUGGGGUGAGUCGCCCUGGAGCAUCACCUUCAGCCCGACAGGUCGCUGUUUCGGCGGGAUGCUGCGGUUAACGGCUCCAGUCGCGACAACCGGCACGGCGCUUUCUCCAACUGCACCUGAACGCAACAUUAAAGUGCCCGUAACUCCGCUCUUCUCCAUGUCUGUCUCAAUAAUCGCCAGCUGACGAGUGGGAAAUUCGGGUAAGGUUGCUAGCUUAAACCACACAAAGAUGGAAGUUUUCUUCAACGCGUCCGCUCACUGGCCGGCAAGUUUAACGAUCAAAGAUGCUCAGUUUCCAGCUUUAUAGUGAAUUGGCAUGGUGACGUCACUGAACUUCCGCUGCAGCUUCCGGGUUGUGUUCCCUCCAUCCAUUCAUUUCCUGUGUCGCUUGUCUUCAGUCUAUCCCAGCUGACUUUAAACGACUUGUCGCCAGGGGUUUCCCAACUUUAAGGAAAUAAAUAAUAACCGUGGACAGCCCGGUAAAGUCAGUGAGACAACGGCCGAUGAGGCGCCUUGUGUCUCCUUCCAGGACGUCGUCCACCGCGGGGGUCUGGAGCUCCGGAGGACACAACAGGAUUCGGGAUGCAUCACCGCUGUAAGGGCGAUGACUUCCAUGGGGUGAGUCGCCCUGGAGCAUCACCUUCAGCCCGACAGGUCGCUGUUUCGGCGGGAUGCUGCGGUUAACGGCUCCAGUCGCGACAACCGGCACGGCGCUUUCUCCAACUGCACCUGAACGCAACAUUAAAGUGCCCGUAACUCCGCUCUUCUCCAUGUCUGUCUCAAUAAUCGCCAGCUGACGAGUGGGAAAUUCGGGUAAGGUUGCUAGCUUAAACCACACAAAGAUGGAAGUUUUCUUCAACGCGUCCGCUCACUGGCCGGCAAGUUUAACGAUCAAAGAUGCUCAGUUUCCAGCUUUAUAGCGAAUUGGCAUGGUGACGUCACUGAACUUCCGCUGCAGCUUCCGGGUUGUGUUCCCUCCAUCCAUUCAUUUCCUGUGUCGCUUGUCUUCAGUCUAUCCCAGCUGACUUUAAACGACUUGUCGCCAGGGGUUUCCCAACUUUAAGGAAAUAAAUAAUAACCGUGGACAGCCCGGUAAAGUCAGUGAGACAACGGCCGAUGAGGCGCCUUGUGUCUCCUUCCAGGACGUCGUCCACCGCGGGGGUCUGGAGCUCCGGAGGACACAACAGGAUUCGGGAUGCAUCACCGCUGUAAGGGCGAUGACUUCCAUGGGGUGAGUCGCCCUGGAGCAUCACCUUCAGCCCGACAGGUCGCUGUUUCGGCGGGAUGCUGCGGUUAACGGCUCCAGUCGCGACAACCGGCACGGCGCUUUCUCCAACUGCACCUGAACGCAACAUUAAAGUGCCCGUAACUCCGCUCUUCUCCAUGUCUGUCUCAAUAAUCGCCAGCUGACGAGUGGGAAAUUCGGGUAAGGUUGCUAGCUUAAACCACACAAAGAUGGAAGUUUUCUUCAACGCGUCCGCUCACUGGCCGGCAAGUUUAACGAUCAAAGAUGCUCAGUUUCCAGCUUUAUAGUGAAUUGGCAUGGUGACGUCACUGAACUUCCGCUGCAGCUUCCGGGUUGUGUUCCCUCCAUCCAUUCAUUUCCUGUGUCGCUUGUCUUCAGUCUAUCCCAGCUGACUUUAAACGACUUGUCGCCAGGGGUUUCCCAACUUUAAGGAAAUAAAUAAUAAGUAAGUUACGUGUUUUUUGUAAAUUACGGUCAAGUCUUGUUAACACGCUGUGUGAGUACAGCCAUGUUCUUAGUGGUUUUUUAAUGUUAGCAUCUGUUAGCUUGUUCUUAAUGGGUUUUUAAUGUUAGCAUCUGUUAGCUCGCCACAACAUUGGGCUGUGUUGGACCUCACACUUCCUGGUUUUGUCACGUGGUCUCAUGUUUACCCUGACCUCCUGACAGUAUUAUAUUCUGUAUUUGUGUUAUGUACAAGGUUUAUAGUGGAGGUCUUUUGUAUCGAUAUCAUUGAGAAAGAGUAUUUUCUUUGAAAAUGGUUAGUGGUUAGAUCACCCAACAGAUGGAUAAUGAUGACAGUGGAGAAAUGCACCAGUGCACAUGAUAUCCCGGUGACAGAAACAAGACAUCUUUGUUGAUGGAACAUAUACAGCAACACCAUGCGCUCGUACUCAUUUAUUAAAAUACAUUGUCAUGAUUUUUAGGGCGGGGAUAGAGAAUAGCAUCUUUCUUGUAGGCUAUGCCGUAUCUUCCCGCAUGUUUCAAUCCCAUAAGAACAUUUGGGGAUGGAUGGCAUGGAAGUUUCUAAAAAUGGCUCUCGGUUCCAGGCUGUUGAUGUCCUUGGGGAAGCCAUUGUCACCACUUAGAAGCCUUUACUUUUGCAUAUUGUAGCUCUACUUAAAAAAAAAUAUAUAUACAUAUUAUAUAUUACCAGCUAAUUUAGGAGUAUAUUGAUUUUUAAAUUGAACUUUAAGGUUUAUGGACUCAUGUGGUGAUUGUUGGUAUUACAUAAGGCCAAACUACUUUGUGCCAUUUUGCAUAGUCAAAAAUAGUUAUUAAAUAUUUAGUGCCGUCAUAUCUGUAACAGCCAGAGCUCAUGCCGCCCAUGUCCGUCCUUGUCA